CGGCGAGUGACAGGGAUAAGCCCAGCACCGAAGCCUGUGGCCGUUUGGCCCCUAGGCAAUGUGGUGUUCAGGUUAGCUCGCGGGGAUGCUGCUCCACCCUAAGUCCUAUAAUGAGUAAGGUUACUCGGACAUGGCCCACAGAGGGUGAAAGGCCCGUGGGGGUGGAGACUCAGAUUGGCCAGUAUCUCCCUGAGCAGACCUUGGAGUCGGGUUGUUUGUGAAUGCAGCCCAAAGCGGGUGGUAAACUCCAUCCAAGGCUAAAUACUUGCACGAGUCCGAUAGCGAACAAGUACCGUGAGGGAAAGUUGAAAAGUACUUUGAAGAGAGAGUAAACAGUGCGUGAAACCGCUCAGAGGUAAACGGGUGGAGUUGAACUGCAAGCUCUGAGGAUUCAGCUGGUGAGUUUGGCAUGAGCUUGGUCAUGUGGGUUGUGUGUUCGGGUCUGCUUAGCUGCAGGUCCUCGCCUUUGGUGGGGAUGCGCGUAUCGCUUAUCAAGCGUUGUGCGCCCGUUCUUCUCGGACCUGCUCGCCAGUGCACUUUCUCAGAGUGUUCACCACGACCGGC
This 564-nucleotide ribosomal RNA is filed under the name Echinostomatidae sp. JAM2049228. RNAcentral's name for it is "eukaryotic LSU rRNA". It matches the Rfam family "Eukaryotic large subunit ribosomal RNA", at positions 87 to 520 of the family's 3401-position model. Lineage: Eukaryota; Metazoa; Platyhelminthes; Trematoda; Plagiorchiida; Echinostomatidae. The record is from RNAcentral.